UGUGGGUGGGUAGGGGAGCGUCGUGCAGCCGGGGAAGCGCCGGAGUGAUCCAGGUGUGGAGGCUGCGCGAGUGAGAAUGCAGGCAUGAGUAGCGAAAGACGAGUGAGAAACUCGUCCGCCGAAUGACCAAGGGUUCCUGGGCCAGGUUAAUCCGCCCAGGGUGAGUCGGGACCUAAGGCGAGGCCGACAGGCGUAGUCGAUGGACAACGGGUUGAUAUUCCCGUACCCGUGUGAACGCGCCCCUGGUGAAUCAUCGGUACUAACCGUCCAAAGGGUGAUCGAGUUCCUUCGGGAGCCGAGAGCCUGCUGCACGGGACCUUCGGUGGUAGUAGCCAAGCGAUGGGGUGACGCAGGAAGGUAGUGGGGCCGGUCAGUGGUUGUACCGGUGUAAGCCCGUAGGCGUGACACAGGCAAAUCCGUGUCGCAUUUGAGCCUGAGAGGUGAUGCGUAGCCGAAUGAGGCGAAUUCCAUGAUCCUAUGCUGCCGAGAAAAGCCUCUAGCGAGCUUUCACACGGCCCGUACCCCAAACCGACACAGGUGGUCAGGUAGAGAAUACCGAGGCGAUCGAGAGAACUGUGGUUAAGGAACUCGGCAAAAUGCCCCCGUAACUUCGGGAGAAGGGGGACCAGUCCCGGUGAGGACCUUCACGGUCGGAGCUGGGGGUGGUCGCAGAGACCAGAGAGAAGCGACUGUUUACUAAAAACACAGGUCCGUGCGAAGUCGUAAGACGAGGUAUACGGACUGACGCCUGCCCGGUGCUGGAAGGUUAAGAGGACCGGUCAGCGGAGCAAUCCGCGAAGCUGAGAAUUUAAGCCCCAGUAAACGGCGGUGGUAACUAUAACCAUCCUAAGGUAGCGAAAUUCCUUGUCGGGUAAGUUCCGACCUGCACGAAUGGCGUAACGACUUCUCUGCUGUCUCAACCACAGACUCGGCGAAAUUGCACUACGAGUAAAGAUGCUCGUUACGCGCGGCAGGACGAAAAGACCCCGGGACCUUCACUACAGCUUGGUAUUGGUGUUCGGUUCGGUUUGUGUAGGAUAGGUGGGAGACUGUGAAGCCCGCACGCCAGUGUGGGUGGAGUCGUUGUUGAAAUACCACUCUGAUCGUAUUGGACCUCUAACCUCGGACCCUGAUCGGGUUCAGGGACAGUGCCUGGUGGGUAGUUUAACUGGGGCGGUUGCCUCCCAAAAUGUAACGGAGGCGCCCAAAGGUUCCCUCAGCCUGGUUGGCAAUCAGGUGUCGAGUGCAAGUGCACAAGGGAGCUUGACUGUGAGACCGACAGGUCGAGCAGGGACGAAAGUCGGGACUAGUGAUCCGGCACCGGCAUGUGGAAGCGGUGUCGCUCAACGGAUAAAAGGUACCCCGGGGAUAACAGGCUGAUCUUCCCCAAGAGUCCAUAUCGACGGGAUGGUUUGGCACCUCGAUGUCGGCUCGUCGCAUCCUGGGGCUGGAGUAGGUCCCAAGGGUUGGGCUGUUCGCCCAUUAAAGCGGCACGCGAGCUGGGUUUAGAACGUCGUGAGACAGUUCGGUCUCUAUCCGCCGCGCGCGUAGAAACUUGAGGAAGGCUGUCCCUAGUACGAGAGGACCGGGACGGACGAACCUCUGGUGUGCCAGUUGUCCCGCCAGGGGCACGGCUGGUUGGCUACGUUCGGAAGGGAUAACCGCUGAAAGCAUCUAAGCGGGAAGCCUGUUCCAAGAUGAGGUUUCUCACCCCCUCGAGGGGGUAAGGCCCCCGGCAGACCACCGGGUUGAUAGGCCGGAACUGGAAGUGCGGUAACGCAUGCAGGUGACCGGUACUAAUAGGCCGAGGACUUACCACAA
This 1821-nucleotide ribosomal RNA is filed under the name Rhodococcus rhodochrous. RNAcentral describes it as "bacterial LSU rRNA". It matches the Rfam family "Bacterial large subunit ribosomal RNA", at positions 1219 to 2925 of the family's 2925-position model. The record is from RNAcentral. Lineage: Bacteria; Bacillati; Actinomycetota; Actinomycetes; Mycobacteriales; Nocardiaceae.